Molecule: ribosomal RNA, 473 nt
Filed under: uncultured organism
Description: partial 16S ribosomal RNA
Rfam family: Bacterial small subunit ribosomal RNA
Source: RNAcentral
CUCCUGCGGGAGGCAGCAGUGGGGAAUUUUGGACAAUGGGCGAAAGCCUGAUCCAGCAAUGCCGCGUGUGUGAAGAAGGCCUUCGGGUUGUAAAGCACUUUUGUCCGGAAAGAAAUCCUUGGCUCUAAUACAGUCGGGGGAUGACGGUACCGGAAGAAUAAGCACCGGCUAACUACGUGCCAGCAGCCGCGGUAAUACGUAGGGUGCGAGCGUUAAUCGGAAUUACUGGGCGUAAAGCGUGCGCAGGCGGUUUGCUAAGACCGAUGUGAAAUCCCCGGGCUCAACCUGGGAACUGCAUUGGUGACUGGCAGGCUAGAGUAUGGCAGAGGGGGGUAGAAUUCCACGUGUAGCAGUGAAAUGCGUAGAGAUGUGGAGGAAUACCGAUGGCGAAGGCAGCCCCCUGGGCCAAUACUGACGCUCAUACACGAAAGCGUGGGGAGCAAACAGGAUUAGAAACCCGAGUAGUCCCAUGA